UGAUGAUGCAGAGGAGAAGCAGAUGGAAGACCGGUUGGUGGAGAGCUGGCUAAGCGACCUCAAGAAUCUGGCUUAUGAUGUGGAAGACAUCUUGGAUGAAUUUGCCACUGAAUUCUUGCAACGCCGGUUGAAGGGAGAACGUCAAGCCAGUGCAAGUAAGCUUCGGAAACUCAUUCAUUCUGUUACUGCUACAAUCAGUCCAGGAACUGUCUUCUUUAAUUCAACACUGAUGUCCAAGAUGGUGGAGAUCACUGCAAGAUUUCAAGAGAUAGCAAAACAGCAGCAAGACUUGGGUUUGAUAAAGAAAAAUGUUGGAGGUACGUCCUCUAGUAAGGUAUGUAUACGACCAUCCAGUACAUGUUUGCAUCAUGAACCUGAAGUCUAUGGCAGAGAUGAAGAUAAGAGGAAGUUACUUGAUUUGCUUUUGAGGGACGAAACAAGUGAUGUGAAAGUUGGAGUAAUA
This 463-nucleotide unclassified non-coding RNA is filed under the name Hevea brasiliensis (rubber tree). The record is from RNAcentral. Lineage: Eukaryota; Viridiplantae; Streptophyta; Magnoliopsida; Malpighiales; Euphorbiaceae.